RNAcentral lists this ribosomal RNA (251 nucleotides) under uncultured prokaryote. Its description in RNAcentral is "partial 16S ribosomal RNA". It matches the Rfam family "Bacterial small subunit ribosomal RNA", at positions 524 to 774 of the family's 1533-position model. The record is from RNAcentral.
UACAGAGGAUGCAAGCGUUAUCCGGAUUUAUUGGGUUUAAAGGGUGCGCAGGUUGUUUGAUAAGUCAGUGGUGAAAGUCCGUCGCUUAACGGUAGGAUUGCCAUUGAUACUGUUGGACUUGAAUAUGGAUGAGGUAGGCGGAAUGUGUAGUGUAGCGGUGAAAUGCAUAGAUAUUACACAGAACACCGAUUGCGAAGGCAGCUUACUAAUCCAUCAUUGACGCUGAGGCACGAAAGCGUGGGGAUCAAACA